This 460-nucleotide ribosomal RNA is filed under the name uncultured bacterium. Its description in RNAcentral is "partial 16S ribosomal RNA". It matches the Rfam family "Bacterial small subunit ribosomal RNA", at positions 338 to 795 of the family's 1533-position model. The record is from RNAcentral.
CCUACGGGAGGCAGCAGUGAGGAAUAUUGGUCAAUGUACGCGAGUCUGAACCAGCCCAGUAGCGUGAAGGAUGACUGCCCUAUGGGUUGUACACUUCUUUUAUAAAGGAAUAAAACGAGGCAAGUGUGCCUUGUUGCAUGUACUUUAUGAAUAAGGAUCGGCUAACUCCGUUCCAGCAGCCGCGGUAAUACGGAGGAUCCGAGCGUUAUCCGGAUUUAUUGGGUUUAAAGGGAGCGGAGAUGGGUUGUUAAGUCAGUUGUGAAAGUUUGCGGCUCAACCGUAAAAUUGCAAUUGAUACUGGCAGUCUUGAGUACAGUUGAGGUAGGCGGAAUUCGUGGUGUAGCGGUGAAAUGCUUAGAUAUCACGAAGAACCCCGAUUGCGAAGGCAGCUUACUAAACUGUGACUGACAUUGAUGCUCGAAAGUGUGGGUAUCAAACAGGAUUAGAUACCCGGGUAGUC